ACACGUAGGGGCCUGACGUUGUUCGGAAUCAUUGGGCGUAAAGGGCGCGCAGGCGGCCGUCCAAGUCCGGUGUUAAAUGGUCGGGCUCAACCCGAUCAUGCGCUGGAAACUGGGCGGCUUGAGUCCCGUAGGGGAUGCCGGAAUUCCAGGUGUAGGGGGGAAAUCUGUAGAUAUCUGGAAGAACACCGAUGGCGAAGGCAGGCAUCUGGCCGGAGACUGACGCUGAGGCGCGAAGGCGCGGGGAGCGAACAGGUUUAGAUACCCUGGUAGUCCGCGCAGUAAACGAUGCGCACCAGGUGUCGGGCGGCAGCGCCCGGUACCGGAGCUAACGCGAUGAGUGCGCCGCCUGGGGAGUAUGCCCGCAAGGGUGAAACUCAAAUGAAUUGACGGGG
Molecule: ribosomal RNA, 392 nt
Filed under: uncultured bacterium
Lineage: Bacteria
Description: partial 16S ribosomal RNA
Rfam family: Bacterial small subunit ribosomal RNA
Source: RNAcentral